Molecule: unclassified non-coding RNA, 20 nt
Filed under: Chlamydomonas reinhardtii
Lineage: Eukaryota; Viridiplantae; Chlorophyta; Chlorophyceae; Chlamydomonadales; Chlamydomonadaceae
Description: small RNA Cre_3947
Source: RNAcentral
UUGCGCUAGGCUACAUUGUG